GAAUGUGAGGGCAAUCUAGCUUCAAACAGAUUUUAUCCCAUUGAUCACUAUGGUUGAUUCUGCAGAUCUGGAUGCCUAGAAAGUUCUACCUUUGCUUCCUCUUUGCUCCAUGUGCAGCCCGUCUAAAACUGCACACUUGGUCAAACAGGAUGACCUUUCCUGAUAGAGGAGGACCAGUAGCUGUGCUCUGCAUCUAGAACCUCCAAACAAGCUCUCAAGCUCUUAUAUAUUUUAUAUUAAAGGUUAUGA
This 249-nucleotide small RNA is filed under the name Meriones unguiculatus (Mongolian gerbil). RNAcentral describes it as "7SK RNA (ENSMUGG00000013488.1)". It matches the Rfam family "7SK RNA", at positions 1 to 265 of the family's 331-position model. Rfam says of the family: 7SK was discovered as an abundant small nuclear RNA in the mid-70s but a possible function has only recently been suggested. Two independent studies have found that 7SK RNA binds the CDK9/cyclin T complex (known as elongation factor P-TEFb). P-TEFb activates transcription by phosphorylating the C-terminal domain of RNA polymerase II. Lineage: Eukaryota; Metazoa; Chordata; Mammalia; Rodentia; Muridae. The record is from RNAcentral.